RNAcentral lists this ribosomal RNA (428 nucleotides) under uncultured prokaryote. RNAcentral describes it as "bacterial SSU rRNA". It matches the Rfam family "Bacterial small subunit ribosomal RNA", at positions 355 to 774 of the family's 1533-position model. The record is from RNAcentral.
UGAGGAAUAUUGCGCAAUGGGGGCAACCCUGACGCAGCGACGCCGCGUGAGUGAGGAAGGCCUUCGGGUCGUAAAGCUCUGUCAAAGGGAAAGAAGUGCAUGGUGGCUAAUACCUGCCAUGUUUGACGGUACCCUUAAAGGAAGCACCGGCUAACUCCGUGCCAGCAGCCGCGGUAAUACGGAGGGUGCAAGCAUUGUUCGGAAUUACUGGGCGUAAAGGGCGCGUAGGCGGUUUGAUAAGUCAGAUGUGAAAGCCCACGGCUUAACUGUGGAAGUGCAUUUGAAACUGUCAGACUUGAGUACCAGAGGGGAAAGUGGAAUUCCCGGUGUAGAGGUGAAAUUCGUAGAUAUCGGGAGGAAUACCGGUGGCGAAGGCGGACCUCUGGAACGCAACUGACGCUGAGGCGCGAAAGUCGGGGGAGCAAACA